CAGAAGACUGUAUACAAAGAUAUUUCAAGCUACUCUUUGCUCAAACUCAGAAAGAUCUACAUAUGAUAUAAGUAAUGGCAGUAAUUUCAGGACUCUAUGCCAGAGCAUGGAGAGUUUGUUUGUACAUGCUGCUUCAGAGUAGCGCCCUGUGAGUAGAAAGGCCACAUCUGCACUGCACAGUUUUGAAUUUCAUGAGCUAUAAUAUAUAGCAGCACAGGAUUUGGCCAUGGUAUGACAGAAAAGCAAAAGAAAUAAGGAAGAGCAAGAGAGAACAUCUGUCUCUCAAGAAAUACAAGAAAACAAAUGAGUGAUACAAGAGCAGAAAAUUUCCUGGCAUGCCUGACCAAACGAAUCACUCAUAAGUCACUUUCUUUCUUCCCUAAAGCACUCUGUCACGAAUAAAGAAC
Long non-coding RNA from Manacus vitellinus (golden-collared manakin), 407 nucleotides. RefSeq lists it as uncharacterized. NCBI's taxonomy places the organism in Eukaryota, Metazoa, Chordata, Aves, Passeriformes, Pipridae. The record is from RefSeq and is a predicted model, not a curated record. The transcript is spliced from 4 exons.